UCAUAGGGAUACAUCUGAUAUUUCUUACGGACAGCUGAAAAAAGUUUUCCGGUUGUAACAGGAUCAAGAGAAGUGGCAACGACAACCUUAGCAUUGCAAUCACACUCGAUCGGAACGCUCUUAUCGCGCCUCCUGUUUUCGCCGUACCUCGUUCGCAUCCUUAUUUC
Molecule: small RNA, 167 nt
Filed under: Arabidopsis thaliana (thale cress)
Lineage: Eukaryota; Viridiplantae; Streptophyta; Magnoliopsida; Brassicales; Brassicaceae
Description: ATSL095670
Source: RNAcentral